Molecule: transfer RNA, 58 nt
Filed under: Perkinsus olseni
Lineage: Eukaryota; Perkinsozoa; Perkinsida; Perkinsidae
Description: tRNA-Ile
Rfam family: tRNA
About the family: Transfer RNA (tRNA) molecules are approximately 80 nucleotides in length. Their secondary structure includes four short double-helical elements and three loops (D, anti-codon, and T loops).
Source: RNAcentral
UAGCUCAGUGGUUAGAGCGACGGUCUUAUGAGCCGUAGGUCGUGGGUUCGACCCCCGC